Molecule: long non-coding RNA, 3661 nt
Organism: Pezoporus occidentalis (night parrot)
Lineage: Eukaryota; Metazoa; Chordata; Aves; Psittaciformes; Psittacidae
Exons: 2
Source: RefSeq, a predicted model, not a curated record
UUUCACUGUGCUAAGGAGGAGAGAGCUCGUUCCUGCCAUCCAGAGACGCUGGACUGGAUCCUGAGCACCAUCUCAAAGGUGCCUAUCUGUUGACAUUGGCUCUCCUGAGCAGAGCGUUGGGCCACGCCAGGAAGCUGAGUGUACAACUCUCCUUGCGUUUCCCACUUUCCCAGGGGUUAUCGCCUAUGAAAUCUCACACACACCCAUGGCCAGAAAAGGUUUCUGAUGCAGAGGCAGGUGAAAGGUGCCCACUGGUCCCACGGUGGUGAGUUUGGGUGCCCCAUGCUUGGUGGCAGGGGCUGAGCCACCUUCCCUGGCAGAGGGGUUUUGAGUGGAUGGGUAAAGCCACAGCAAAGGCAGGCUGCGGUGGGAUGAGCACGGUCAGAGGUCUGUAGAGCUGUGAUGAAAAUCAGGGCAUCAAACCAGCUUGGUUGUGCAGGGAAGGAGAAUGUGUCAGGGCUCCCAUUGCAGAGGAGAUGGCCAGUGUGUGGUGACCCACAGCAGGAGGCACACAGUAGCACCCAUUUGCCACCUCCAGUCCUCUUCCCAACAGAAGAUGCCAGCACUAGCUGAGCCUGCAGGGACAUUUGGUGCUGGGGGGCUCAGAGGGCUUGAGCCCAUGGUGAUGGUUCCCAGGUCCCCCUCCACCCCUCAGCACUGGGGCUCCUGGUGCCAUGGGGAUGCAGCCAGAGUCCCUCCAGUGGCUGCAGCAUUUUGGGAUAGAAAGUCCGGUCCUGCCUUGUGGGCACUUCAGCUUUUUGGAGCCAGGAUCCAGCUGCUCCUCAGCUAUUGGUGUCUUUCCACAGCCACUUGCUCUGUAUGGAGCUGCUUCAGUGCAUCAUCCAGAGCCCACUGUUAGUUUUUGACUGGCACCGUUAGUCUUUCCUGAAGGGGUUUGCUGGAUAAUUUUGGCUGAUGCUCAGGCUGAAGCUUGGAUGGGGCUCGUUCCUUCAGCGUAAUUGCUUCUGGGACCUGGCUUUGCUCAGAGGCCCCAGUGGGAAUGUGGCGCCUCUGCCCAGUGCAGAGCCAUCAGCCUUGGGUUCGUGAUACAGCCACUACCUUGAAAUUUGCCUUUCGUGAAAUUCUGCAACAUUUGCUCUUUCCACAAACAUUUCUGCCAGGAACGUUGUUUGCUCCAAUAUUUGAGGAAAGCAAACAGAGGGGGAGCCUGAACACAAACAGUCAUGGAUGUUUUUUCGCACUCUUUGCCCUGCUCUACCCCCAAGCCCACCACAGAGACACUUGUAGGUGACCCCUCUGCUCCAGCUACCCCUUGGCUCUGCCUGUGCCCACUGCUGGCCACGAUCCCACUGCAAAUACUGCUGUAUUUCAAAGAAGAUCACCCAGACCUUGCUGCCUGCGGGACCACCAUCGCUCACCACCCCUUUGCGCUCGCUUUAGACAAACAUCAUUUUAAUGCCAUUCGAGAAAUGUCAGCAGAAGACCAACCGAGCCUGUCUGACCCACACACCUACACCAGCCGCUCCUCAAGCCUUCCCAGGCCUCGUGCUGCUCACCUCCCAGAGCUGGAGCUCACCCCAGCCCUCUGUGCUCACUCCCAUUGUAAAUUACCAUCGUGUUUCCAAGUGAAGCCGCAGACCAGGGCGUGCUGCCGCCUGGUAAGUGCUGGGGUGAGACGGCUGCCCCGGUGUGGUGGAAGUUGCAGCCCUGCAUACAACCGCAGUCACUGUCUUGACACCGAGCAGCAUCCCUGCAGCUCCCAGCGAUGCGGAGCAUCCCCUGCUCUUCCCCAAGGAGAUCCUCUUCCCUAAGCCUCAGGAUCAAGCCAAGGCAGCUAAGCAGUGAUUGUUCCUUCUGCAUCCCAUCUGAAUACCAGGGCUUAUUUCUGGGUGCAGCAAGACCCUGCUCAGCGGUUUCUUGCCCCGGUAAGUGCUGCCCCUGCCAGUGUUAUAAACACCACUGACAGCCAGUGGGGAUGGUAGGAGUGGGAACAGGGAAGGACCUGUGCGGGUGUCGCAAAACUUACGAGUCCCUGAUGGCCUCCGUGCCAUGGACACAGAGCACAAGGAGUAAACAGAGGAAUUAAAUAGCAGCUGACAUGAGAAAUCAAGAGGGGGAAAGCUCAGUUUGGGUAGUAGCUAGUGUAAAGCUAUAAUUAGAUCAAUUUGUCAAUGAGAAAUAGCUGCUUCAUAGUGAAAAGUAAAAAUCCUCAGAACUUCUGCCUCCUCUCGCAUUCUUCAGCUGAAGCUGUUCCCCACAUCUGACCAAACUGCCCAAGCAGCUCCGAUGGCUCGCGUUUUUCAGCUGAUUUCCAAGGCUGCUUUACUGAGCUGGCCCCGCUGUAACCACCGGCCCCGGGGAUCCCUGGCUCUGAGACACUUCCAAUAUAAAAAGGAGAGGUGCUGCCCAUGCUGGGAUUGAAGGAAAUUGCCAGGAUUGUGCCCAAGUCUCAUUUGGGGAACUAAGGUGGAGCCGGGGUCUCAUCACCAGCUUGCUGCCCCUUACACCUUCUCCAUACCCUACCCUCUCACACACUCAUUUGCAGCCUCCCCUGGGGAUUUAACUUCAGUGCGCCUGGAGGAGCCCUUUCCAGCAGAGCAUCCUCCAAAUCCUUUACACCAGGCACAGGUCUGAUGGGAGAGAAACCAGUGCCUCCAAGGUAUGGUUUAGGGACAGUGCUGCAGGCAAUCUGGGGCAGGGUUGAAGGAGCUGCAGUGGGUGGAUGCCCCACUCUGAUCUUAUCAAUGCCACUGCUGGAAAGAGCAGGCUAGACCCGCUUGCUGUCCUGAGGCCAAGUGCCAGCACCCAGCUUCCCCCUUAAUAUAACCCUGGCUUCAAAUGGGUACUGAAAUGCUGAAGCCCCUCAUAGAUGGGGAGACAGAAAAAUCAGAGAGUCCUUCUAUCUGUCAAAGGAAACUGAAAAUGACCCCUCCAAGGCUGAAGGCUCAUCUGGUGGAUGUGGUAUGCACCAUCAGCUGAGCCCAGCAAUGCCCUGGGGGUGGCUGGGACUGGCUGCACUGGUGGGACUCAGUGCACCACCACUGCCUGGAACAUCCCGUUGUUUUCCAAGAGAAUAAUCUCCCCAGUGACCCUGGAAAGGGCUUGGCCACCACUUUGCCAUCAGCCCCAUGGCGCAUCCGGCUGCUGUGCCCACCCUGCCACACAGCCCAGCCCCACAGUACCGCUAGGCACUGCCCAGUCCCCAGCCCUUCCUCGCCUCUAUUUGGAUAACUUUUUCACCCGUUUUAUUUAUGAGGACUCCCCUCCUUCUGCCAACGCUGAGCUUCCUCCCCCUUUGGUCUGGGAGGCCCUUCUUGCUUUUCUAUUAUUAUUAUUUUCCUCUCUUCCCCUGGCAAGGCCCCAGGCUCAGCCUCACGACGGGCUCGCGGGCAGUGGUCCCAUGGCUUGCUUUGGCCGUGGGAGCAGAUGGUGGGAUGUGCAGUGACUCUUCUCCAGCCACCCUGUGGUUCCCAGCCCUGCCUGCGCCUGCCCCGUGGCCCAUCACUGACCCUCAGGCUGAAAUAUUAGGAGAAAAUCAGGAUUAAACCAAGAAAUCAGGACCAACCAGUGGCAACGUGUGCCUGCCUGUGCUUGAGGUCACUGAUGUGCCAGGGCGGGCAAGUGGCUGCUCCCACUGGAGCAAGCUACAAGUGGGCAGAAUAACUUAAUCAUAAGUGAUUAAAGAGCUUGUUCAGCUCCU